AUUGAACGCUGGCGGCAGGCUUAACACAUGCAAGUCGAGCGAGCGGCGGACGGGUGAGUAAUGUCUGGGAACCUGCCUGAUGGAGGGGGAUAACUACUGGAAACGGUAGCUAAUACCGCAUACCAUCAGAUGUGCCCAGAGUGGAUUAGCUAGUAGGUGGGGUAAUGGCUCACCUAGGCAACGAUCCCUAGCUGGUCUGAGAGGAUGACCAGCCACACUGGGACUGAGACACGGUCCAGACUCCUACGGGAGGCAGCAGUGGGGAAUAUUGGACAAUGGGGGCAAGCCUGAUGCAGCCAUGCCGCGUGUGUGAAGAAGGCCUUCGGGUUGUAAAGUACUUUUAGCGAGGAAGCGUUACUCGCAGAAGAAGCACCGGCUAACUCCGUGCCAGCAGCCGCGGUAAUUC
Molecule: ribosomal RNA, 406 nt
Filed under: uncultured bacterium
Lineage: Bacteria
Description: partial 16S ribosomal RNA
Rfam family: Bacterial small subunit ribosomal RNA
Source: RNAcentral